CUGGUGGUAGCUUAAUAUUAAAGCUCAGGAUUCUUACUCCUGUGAUGUUCCGGUUUGAACCCUUCAGG
Molecule: transfer RNA, 68 nt
Filed under: Echinostomatidae sp. MSB para 30070
Lineage: Eukaryota; Metazoa; Platyhelminthes; Trematoda; Plagiorchiida; Echinostomatidae
Description: tRNA-Lys
Rfam family: tRNA
About the family: Transfer RNA (tRNA) molecules are approximately 80 nucleotides in length. Their secondary structure includes four short double-helical elements and three loops (D, anti-codon, and T loops).
Source: RNAcentral